AAGGGGUGAAAAUGUCAUCGGGAGUGGAUUGCCGUUGGCGUCAUAUUUUGAACCUGGAGUUGAGCGGUGAUGACGAUAUGGGAAGCGAGGAAGGCGGGAAGAGGGCACUUGGAGGAGAAAGGCAUCAUCCACCCUAUGCCUGUGCGUCAGCCAUGAUGGUGGACGGUUGUGGGCAGAUCCGAUGUCUGCAUGUGGAUCUACUACUCGGGAUGGCAUGACAUGGUUGUUGUGGAGUGAGGUGCCACAACUGUUGUGUUGUGUGGGUGAGUUCGGAGAGAUAGAAGUCGUGUUUCACUUUAGUCUAGGCCUUCAACUGUACCAAGUUCAACUUAUUUAGAGUUUCUGCUCUCUCAAGCUCAAGCCUUUCUCUGAACCAAAUCUAACCCAAGAAACCGCUUAGCUAUAAAAGUUUUGAUAGCAUGGACUUAUAUUGAUGUGCUUAACUUAUGGAAUUGUAAGAGCACCUGUUAAGCACCAACAACUUUUGCCUGGAAUAAAGUUGACAUGAAAUUGUGAUUGUGUGAGUUAAAUCAUUUUACAUCCUUAAGCCCCAAGAUGCGCCAAGUUGGGUGGUGCCAUACAGAAUUUGUUUUGAGGAGUUAUGAUUGGAGUCUGAUGGUGAUGUAGAACUGAUAUUCCGGAGAUAGUCAAAGAUUUUUUGGUGGAUUAUUAUAUUUUAGGUCUAGUUGAGCAUGGUGAUUAUUAUAUUGGUGGAUAAAUAGGUCUAUUAAUCUUGGAACUAUUUUGAUUUAGUUCGAUGAUUGUGAUCUUGAACCAAAUUUCACGAUGGAUAAAUAACUUUAAUUGUACAUAUAAAGAUCCAUAGUCUGUCAAUAGAACUUGUGGUUUAUAUUGGAUUUAGAUAACCAUGAGUUUGGAGUUUAUUUAAAUUAUGGUUAUGAUGUUGGUGGAUUGCUUUGUGUUAAAUUCACACUUUUGGAGAUUGAAGUUGGAGAACUUUAGGGUGUAGUAUGUUAAACCUUGGAUAUAUCAAAUUUAUAUAGGUUAGAUGAGAGUUUGCAGCACCAAUCAUGAUUAUAAUAAUUGGUAGGUUAUUGGAGCAUCUGGAAUUGGAUUAGUAGCAAGGAAAGGAGGAUUUUGAAGUAACACAACUUGUGUUUCCUUUAGGCUAGAUGAGUCUUAGCAACAUGAAUCAUGAUUAUGAAAAUGGUGGAUUAUUGGAGCAUCUGGGAUUGGAUUUAUAGUAAGGAAACAAGGAUCUUGGAGUAGCACAACUUGUGUUUCCUUUAAGUUAAAUGAUAUAGCUACUUGGAUUCUAGGAUGGAGAUAACUUUGGCACUCGGAUUUGUGAUGUUUUGAACUAAGCUUAGUAUUAGUAGCUUGCAUGUGCCCCAUAUGGAUAAAAUCAUGAAUAUGAUACAUGUGGAUUAGAGUUGUUAGACGUAGGUUAUUUUUGUGUCCCUCCCCAAGAAUGUUAUGAGUACAAGAUCAUCAUUUUGGAUUAAUUUGAAGAGAUGGCAAUUUUCAUGGUAUGUGAUAACCUUGUGGGAGUUGGCCCAUAUGAGCAUCAUAAUAGCUAGCAUUAGAGAAACAGUGUUUAUGUAUGUUAUGGUGAACUUUAACCCUCACACCCAAAUCCUAUCAACCCUUAAGUCUCACCAAGCCAUGACUUGGCCAAGCCGCGACAACGGAGCUGGAUAUUAAGCCUAAGGAUGUGGCCCUUGGACCAACUCUUAUACUCCACCUAUUUGAUGAACAUCAUGAACAACAUAUUCAUGAGUUUUUGGACAAGUUUGUGGUUAUCAUCAUUGAUGACCUCUUGGUCUAUUCUCCCUCUGAGGAAGAUGAUAAGCAACACUUGCGAAUGGUUUUGGACAAACUUCAAGAACCCCAAUUAUAUUCCAAGUUCAAGAAGUAUAAAAUUUGGUUAAAAGAAGUUGGGUUGUGAGGACAUGUUUUGUCCAUAGAAGGUUUGUUAAUAGACCCGUCAAGGAUAGAAUCCAUAACCACGUGGAGGGCUAAAUGAAUGUGGUCAGAAGUUUCUGCGGACUUAUGGGUUAUUACCGCAAAUUUGUGGAAGACUUUUGAGCACCACCGAUGACUUUUAACUCCUGAAGAAAGAUAAGAAGUUUGAAUGAACGCUUAAGUGUGAAGAGAGCUUCCAAGAGUUUAAGAAAAGGUUAACCGUUGGUCCGUCCUUAGCCACCCCAGACAUUUAUAAGAGUUCUAAAAUUAUUGUGAUGCAUCUAAGCAUGGACUUAUGAAGGGAACUACCCUACCCAUGAUUUGGAUAUAGCAGAAGUAGAUGCUUGACGUAUGUCUUCUUCUAGAUGAACUUAAACAUGAGAAAAAGAAGAUGGGGAGAUUUAAUCAACCACUAUGACUUUGAUAUCCAUUACCACCCAGAUAAGUGAUGAAGUGGCUCUCGGGCUCUCGGCAGGAAGUCGUAUCAAGAAGAAUAGAAGAAAUUAAUGAAAUAAGUUAGGCGCAGAGCUAGUCAGUAGUGGCUAUCACGCUAACUUCGAUAUUAGGCCCACUCCUAGGUUGAAUCAAGAAGAAUAGAAGAAAUCAAUGAAAUAAUCAAGCAUGGGAAGGCCCUGCAUUCCUUUGGUUUGGAUGUCGCAUCUGCAUAUCUAACCAAGAAGGUUUGAAGAAGUGGAAUCUACAAGCAGCUCAUGGCACCCGUUUAUUCCAUCCACCUAGGGAGUACCAAGUUAUACCAGGACGAAAGGAGUUCCUAGUGGAAUGGAAUGGAUCUAGUUAGGUGAUUGUGAUCUUGAGGAGAUAGUCAAAUAUGUUCGAUUGAUUAUGAAAUUUUAGGUCUACUAUGAGCAUGAUGAUUAUUAUAUUUGUGGAUAAAUCAAAUAUUUAAUUAAUAUUGGAACAAUUUGGAUUUUAGUUAGUGAUUUUGAUCUUCAGAAGUUGGUCAAAUAUGUUCGGUGGAUUAAGGGAUUUAAGUCUAUUGGGCGGGUAUGUUGAUUAUUAUAUUGGUGGAUAAAUAGAUCCUUGAUUAAUCUUGAAACUAUUUGCUUUUAGUUACAUAUAAUUGUAAUGUUGAACCAAAUUUUACGGUGGAUUGUGAGACUUUAGGUGGGUUUAGUUAGAUGAUUAUGAUCUUGAGAUAGUCAAAGGUAUUCGGUGGAUUAUCAGAUUUUAGGGCUAGUAAGUGAACAUGAUGAUUAUUAUAUUGGUAGAUAAAAAGAUCUUUAAUUAAUCUUUGAAACAUUUGGAUUUGGUUACAUGAUUGUUAUCUUGAACCAAAUAUCACGGGGGAUUAUGAUUAGGUGUAUUUGGUUAGGUGAUUGUGAUUUUCAGGAGAUAGUUAAAGAUGUUCGGUGGAUAUGAGAUUUUAGGUCUAGUAUGAGCAUGUGUACUUUAUAUUGGUUGAUAAAUACAUUUUCAACAACAAUUUGGAUUUAGUUACAUGAUUGUUAUGGUCUUGAAGCAAAUUUCACGAUGGAUCAUGAGUUUUUGGUGGAUCUAGUUAGCUGAUUGUGAUCUUGAGGGAAUAGUCAAAGAUGUUUGAUGGAUUAUGAGACAUAUCUUUAAUUAUCUUGGAACAAAUUGGAUUUAGUUAGGUGAUUGUGAUCUUCAACUAAAUUUUACGAUGGAUUAUAAGAGUUUAGGUGGAUUUAGUGAGGUGAUUGUGCUCUUAAGAAAAUAGUUAGUGAGCAUGACGAUUAUUCUAUGUGAGUGACCAAGACGAUGAUGCCACAAAGAGUCGGUAGACAAGGAGAGGCGAAGAGACUGGCCGUGGUGUCAUCAGAGGGAAGGGGAAGCUAGUCAGCUCCCAGAGGGCCUGGGAGUUAUAGCGUCGAGGAGCAGCAACAAGUAGAGCAUCCGAGUGAGGAUCGGAAUCGGAACAAGAGUUAAAGUCAAGAAUGUAACCACCUGAAAUGAGCUGCAUGGGUCGAGGGACAUGAGCAAAACUAGGAACAUGAAAAGAUGAAGUGCUAAGAGUGCCCCGACUAUCGAUUGGGAGGAAAGUUCCUAAGAACGUGAACAUGAGAAUCUGGAGGUUGAAUGGCAGACAAAUGGAAGAAUCAAACAAAGAAGCACUUGGCAGUGAAACUAGAAGUGGAUGUCAAAGUCGUGCAAUUUUUGUUUCUCGUUGAUCUGGCUUGGUGUCCUUCCCUUGUAUGCGGGUUAUGUGUCACGGACUUGAUGUCGCAUCCUACGUUCCCUUGUUGGGGGCCCUUGGCCCCGGCGACAGGUAGCGUCGUGCACACAUCCUGUGGGUUAGACAUUGCGGUGCCGACUGCCCCUGCUCCUGCUUCGCCGAUAGGUGGUGCUCGAGCGUUCGGCUAUGGCGGCGCCCAGCAGGGGAACAUGGGUUGUGGGAUCGAGGCAGCACACAAAGCAACCUGUAGCCAAGCAAAGGAUGCCCAACCGGACUGGCGUGGAGCGGAGAGUGCACGAGGGGUGUGGGGGAAGGGUGAAAAUGUCGUCGGGAGUGGGACUGCCGCUGCCGUCAGAUUUUGAACCUGGAGUCGAGCGGUGAUGACGAUAUGGGAAGCAAGGAAGGCAGGAAGAGGGCACUUGGGAGGAGAAAGGCAUCAUCCACCCUAUGCUUGUGCGUCAACCAUGAUAGUGGACAGUUGUGGGCAGAUCCGAUGUCUGCACGUGGAUCUACUACUCGGGAUGGCACGACAUGGUUGUUGUGGAAUGAAGUGCCACAACUGUUGGGUUGUGUGGGUGAGUUUGGAGAGAUAGAAAUCGUGUUUCACUCUAGUCUAGGCCUUCAACUGUACCAAGUUCGACUUAUUUAGAGUUUCUGCUCUCUCAAGCUCAAGCCUUUCUCUGAACCAAAUCUAACCCAAGAAAUUGCUUAGCUAUAAAAGUUUUGAUAGCAUGGACUUGUAUUGAUGUGCUUAACUUAUGGAAUUGUAAGAGCACUGGUUAAGCACCAACAACUUUUGCCUGGAAUAAAGCCGACAUGAAAUCGUGAUUGUGUGAGUUAAUCAUUUUACAUCCUUAAGCCCCAACAUGCGCCAAGUUGGGUGGUGCCAUACAGAAUUUGUUUUGAGUUAUGAUUGGAGUUUGAUGGUGAUGUAGAACUGAUACAAAAUUUGUUUUGAGGAGUUUAUUUAAAUCAUGGUUAUGAUGUUGGUGGGUUGCUUUGUGUUAAAUUCACACUUUUGGAGAUUGAAGUUGGAUUACUUUAGGGUGUAGUAUGAUCAACCUUGGAUAUAUCAGAUAUUUAUAGGUUAGAUGAGAGUUUGCAGCACCAAUCAUGAUUAUCAUAAUGGGUGGAUUAUUGGAGCAAAUGGAAUUGGAUUAGUAGUAAGGAAACAAGGAUUUUGAAGUAACAUGACUUGUGUUUCCUUUAGGCUAGAUGAAACUUAGCAACAUCAAUCAUGGUUAUGAAAGUAGUGGAUUAUUGGAGCGUCUAGGAUUGGAAGGAAACAAGGAUCUUGGAGUAGCACAACUUGUGUUUCCUUUAGGUUAAAUGAUAUAGCUACUUGGAUUCAAGGAUGGAGAUAACUUUGGCACUCGGAUUUGUGAUGUUUUGAUCUAAGCUUACAAGGUUGCAUUUGCCCCAUAUGGAUAUAGGAUAUAAUCAUGAAUAUGAUACAUGUGGAUCAGAGUUGUUAGACGUAGGUGAUUUUUGUGUCCCUCCCCUAGAAUGUCACAAGUACAAGAUCAUCAUUUUGGAUUAAUUUGAAGAGAUGGCUAUUUUGAUGGUAUGUGAUAACCUUGUGGGAGUUGGGCCAUGUGAGCAUCAUAAUAGAGAGAAGCGGUGUCUAAGUAUGUUAUGGUGAGUUUUCACCCUCACAUCCAAAUCCUAUCAACCCUUAAGUCUCACCCUUAACUCUCACCAAACCAUGACUUAGUCGAGCCGUGAUAGCGGAGCUGGAUAUUAAGCCUAAGUAUGUGAGCUGGAUAUUAAGCCUAAGUAUGUGGCCCUUGGACUAACCGUUAUACUCCACCUAUUUGAUGAACAUCAUGAACAACAUGUUCAUGAGUUCUUGGACAAGUUUGUGGUUAUCAUCAUUGAUAACCUGUUGGUCUAUUCUCCCUCCGAGGAAGAUCAUAAGCAACACUUCAGAAUGGUUUUGUACAAACUUCAAGAACCCCAAUUAUAUGCCAAGUUCAAGAAGUAUAAAAUCCGGCUAAAAGAUGUUGGGAUGUGAGGACAUGUUUUGUCCAUAGAAGGUUUGUUAAUAGACCCGUCGAGGAUAGAAUCCAUAACCACGUGGAAGGCUAAACGAAUGUGAAGUCAGAAGUUUCCUUGGACUUACGGGUUAUUACCACAAAUUUGUGGAAGACUUCGAGCACCACUAAUGACUUAACUCCUGAAGAAAGAUAAGAAGUUUGAAUGAACGCCCAAGUGUGAAGAGAGCUUCCGAGAGUAUAAGAAAACGUUAACCACUGAUCCGUGCUUAGCCACCCCAAACAUUUAUAAGAGUUUUAAAUUUAUUGUGUCUAAGCAUGGACUUUGUUCUGUCUUGACGUAAGAAGGAAGACUCGUGGCCUAUCAAGGCAACUACGUCCUCAUGAAGAGAACUACCCUAACCAUGAUUUGGAUCUAGCAGCAGUAGUGCAUGCUUUAAGUGAAGAUGGUUAGAUUUAAUCAACCACUAUGACUUUGAUGUCCAUUACCAUCCAAAUAAGUGACGUAGUGGAUACUCUCAGCUGGAAUUCGUGUCCCUGUCCUGCCUUGACCAAGCAGAGCAAUUAGUGCUACCUGAAGUCUUCGAUAAGUUUGCCAUAGAGCUAGUCAGUAGUGGCUAUCACGCUAACUUCGAUAUUAGGCCCACUCCUAGGUUGAAUCAAGAAGAAUAGAAGAAAUCAAUGAAAUGAUCAAGCAUGAGAAAGCCUUGCAUUCUUAGAAGAUGAGCAAUGUGUUCUUUGGUUUAGAGGUCACAGCUGCAUACCAAACAAAUAAGGUUUGAAGAUGUGGAAUCUACAAGUAGCUUAUGGCACCCCUUUAUUCCAUCCACCUAGGGAGUACCAAGUUAUACCAGGACCAAGUGAGUUCUUAGUGGAAUGGAAUGGAUUUAGUUAGGUGAUUGUGAUCUUGUGGAGAUAGUCAAAUGUGUUCUGUUGAUUAUGAGAUUUUAGGUCUAGUAUGAACAUGCUGAUUAUUAUAUUGGUGGAUAAAUCAGUAUUUCAAUUAUUGGAAGAAUUUGGAUUUUAGUUAGGUGAUUUUGAUCUUCAGAAGAUAGUCAAAUAUGUUCGGUGGAUUAAGGGAUUUAACUCUAUUGGGCAAGUAUGGUGAUUAUUGUAUUUAGUUAGGUAUAACUGUGAUCUUGAACCAAAUUUUACGGUGGAUUGUGAGACUUUAGGUGGAUUUAGUUAGGUGAUUAUGAUCUUGAGGAGAUAGUCAAAGGUGUAUGGUGGAUUAUCAGAUUUUAGGGCUAGUAAGUGAGCAUGAUGAUUAUUAUAUUGGUAGAUAAAUAGAUCUUUAAUUAAUCUUGGAAAUAUUUGGAUUUAGUUACGUGAUUUUUAUCUUGAACCAAAUAUCGCGGGGAUUAUGAUUAGGUUGAUUUGGUCAGGUGAUUGUGAUCUUCAGGAGAUAGUUAAAGAUAGUCAGGUGAUUGUGAUCUUGAGGGAAUAAUCAAAGAUGUUUGGUGGAUAAUGAGACAUAUCUUUAAUUAAUCUUGGAACAAAUUGGAUUUAGUUACGUGAUUGGUAUCUUGAAGCAAAUUUGACGAUGGAUUUUGAUUUUUUUGGUGGAUUUAGUUAGGUGAUUGUGAUAUUCAAUUAAAUUUUACUGUGGAUUAUAAGAUUUUAAGUGGAUUUGGUUAGAUGACUGAGCUCUUGAGAAAAUAGUUAGUGAGCAUGAUUAUUAUUCUAUUGAUGGAUAAAUAGAUCUUUAUUUAAUUUUGGGUAAUUUGAAUUUAGUUAGGUCAUUGUUAUCUUGAACCAAAUUUUACGGUGGAUUUUAAGUUUUUUUGUUGGAUUUAGCUAGGUGAUUGUGAUCUUGAGGAGAUAGUCAAAGAUGUUCGGUGGAUUGCGAGAUUUUAGGUCUAGUAUGGGCAUUGUUGUUAUUAUAUUGGUGAAUAAACAUAUCUGUAAUUAAUCUUGGAACACUUUGGAUUUAGUUAGGUACUUAGGUGAUUCUGAUCUUGAAGCAAAUUUGACCACAGAUUAUGAGUUUUUGGUGGAUUUAGUUAGGUAAUUGUGAUCUUCAGGAUAUAGUUAAAGAUGUUUGGUGGAUUAAGAGAAUUUUGUUCUAUUACAUGAGCGUCGUGAUUAUUAUGUUGGUGGAUAGACAUAUUUUAAUCUUGGAACACUUUGGAUUUAGUUAGGUGAUUGUGAUCUUCAAGCAAAUUUACCCGUGGAUUAUGAGAUUUUAGGUGAUUGUGAUUUUGAGGGGAUAGUCAAAGAUGUUCGGUGGAUUAUGAGAUUUUUAAUCAAACAUGUUUGGUGGAUUAAGGGAUUUUAGUUCAGUACGUGAGCAUGGUAAUUAUUAUGUUGGUGGAUAGACAUAUUUUUAAUUAAUCUUCGAACACUUUGGAUUUAGUUAGGUGAUUGUAAUCUUCAAGCAAAUUUUUUUGUGGAUUAUGAGAUUUUAUGUGAUUGUGAUCUUAGGGAGAUAGUUGAAGAUAUUCGGUGGAUUUUGAGAUUGUAGGUCUAGUAUAAACAUGGCUACUACUCCCUCUGUUCCUUUAUAUAAGGUGUAUUUAUUUUUUCAAAAGUCAAACGAGUGCAUGUUUGACCAAGUUUUCAGAAAAAUAUAUCAAUAUCCACAAUAUUAAAUUUAUAUAAUUUGAUUGAUCAUGAAAGGUAUUUUCAUAUUUUAUCUAUUAGGUAUUGCAUAUGUUUCUACUUUGUUCUAUAAUCUUGGUCAAACUUUCAAUUGGUUGACUUGCACGGAAACCAAUACAACUUAUAUUCUGGAACGGAGGGAGUAUUAUAUUGGUAGAUAAAGUUAUCUUUAAUUAAUCUUGAAAUAAUUUGAAUUUAGUUAGGUAAUUGUGAUCUUGAAGCAAAUUUGACAAUGAAUUUGGAGUGGGUUUAGUUAGGUAAUUGUGAUCUUGAGGAAUUAUGAGUUUUUGGUGGAUUUAUGAGUUUUUGGUUGAUUUAAUUAGGUAAUUGUGAUCUUGAGGAGAUAGUCAAAGAUGUUUGGUGAAUUAUGACAUUUUAGUUCUAGGAAGUGAGGAUGGUGAUUAUUAUGUUGGUGGAUAAACAGAUUUUCAAUUAGUCUUCGAACAAUUUAGAUUUAAUUAGGCGAUUGUUAUCUUCAAGCAAAUUUACGGGUGGAUUGUGUGAUUUUAGGUGGAUUUAGUUAGGUGAUUGUCAUCUAGAGGAGAUAGUCAAAGAUGUUCCCUACCAAUAUAUUGGUGGAUAAUCAAAGAGGCCCCAACUACGUGCUCCCUUAAAGUAUUGCAUUAGCUUAUUCACAAAAUAUCUGUAAUUAAUGGAACAAAUUGGAUUUAGUUGGGUAAUUGUGAUCUUGAUGCAAAUUUGAUGAUGGAUUAUGAGUUUUUGUGUGGAUUUACUUGGAUGAUCAUGAUCUUGAGGAGAUAGUAAAAUGUUCAAUGAAUUAUGAGAUUUUAGAUCUAGUACUUGAGCAUAAUGAUUAUUAUAUUGAUGGAUAACCAGAUCUUCAAUUAAUCUUGGAACACUUUUGAUUUAGUUAGGUGAUGGUGACUUGAAGCAAUUUUGUCUGUGGAUUAUGAUAUCAUAGGUGGAUUGAGUUAGGUGAUUGGUGUUGAGGGGAUACUCAAAGAUGUUCAGAGGAUUAUGAGAUUUUGGGUCUACUAUGAGCAUGGCUACUAUUAUAUUGGUGGAUAAAUAGAUCUUCAGUCAAUCUUGCGACAAUUUGGAUUUAGUUAGGUGAUUAUGAUCUUGAACCAAAAUUCACGGUGCAUGAUAAAAUUUUAGGUGGAUUUAGUUAGAUGAUUGUGAUCUUGAGGAGAUAGUAAAAAAUGUUCGGUGAAUUAUGAGAUUUUAGGUCUAAUAUGAGCAUGGUUACUACUAAUAUUGGUGGAUAAACAGAUCUUCAAUCAAUCUUGCAACAAUAUGGAUUUAGUUAGGUGAUUAUGAUCUUGAACCAAAAUUCACGGUGGGUUAUAAAAUUUUAGGUGGAUUUAGUUAGGUGAUUGUGAUCUUGAGGAGAUAGUCAAAAAGUUCGGUGGACUAUGAGAUUUUAGGUCUAGUAUGAGCAUGGCUAUUAUUAUAUUGGUGGAUAAACAUAUCUCCAAUUAAUUUUGAAACAAUUUGGAUUUAGUUAGGUGAUUGAACUUGAAGCAAAUUUAACGAAGAAUUACGAGUUUUUCUUUGAUUUAGUUAGGUGAUUGUGAUCUUGAGGAGAUUGUCAAAGAUAUUCGGUGGAUUAUUGGAUUUUAGGUCUAGUAAGUGAGCAUUAUGAUUACUCUCUUGAUGGAUAAGUAGAUCUUUAGAGAUCGGCGGGUGGACAACAUGAAACAACCGGACUUGUGGAAGAUGUCGUCCAAGAUACACCGGUGACGAUAUACGUAGCACCCGAAGGCCAUCCCCACAACAGCAACCAUUGCCCAACACCACGCCACCCCAAGCCUCACGAAACCACCAAGGCAACCAACACCACGAGCACUCAGGCAGCAAUUCGACGAUGUGGUGCCGCCGCUCCCAGGUCCGGAGAAGUGGACCUAGGGGACGGUCAAGGCUUCCAGGGAGGAGACGGAGCCCACAAACGUCGCCAUUGUUCGCAGCCACUGCUGCAGCUGCAGCCACGCAGGGAUUUUCCCCGAGCACCUUGCCACCAACCACGCCACCGUGAAGCAGAACAUGUCUUCGAAUGAGACAUCACAUGUCCAAGCCAAGCUUAGUUUCUGAGUCAAAAGAUGUCUUCGAUCAGAAAGCCAGUAACAAGUAUUGGAUUGAUGUGCAACUAAGAUGGGGAGACUACGAUUCACACGGCAUAGAACGUUACACAAGAACAGAAUUUAUGGACUACACAGACAGAUAAUAUGUCCAUCUACCCUUCUCCGACUGGGGUGAUGAUUGGACUGAUCUAGCUUAUAAUUUGCACUCUGCUUUUGGUAACUGCUUCCCCGGGUGAAAGCCCCUCCUCUAGCAAGCAAUGAACAAGAUCAUGAAGUCAAAUCCUGCUAUGUAUGUGCCGAGGGAGAGAAUAAGAAAGGGUCCUCAAUUGUCAUCCAUAGAAGUGUAUGGGCGGGACAAAAGUGUCUAGGGCAGCUGGCCAAGUGGAAAACAGCCGAGGAGGUUGCUGCACUAGUUCGAUCGCUUCCCGUUGAAGAGCAGCCAAAGCAAAUUAUUUUGACAAGGAAGUGUGUGUUGGAAGUCCAUCUGCCAUUCCAAGCUUGCUUGAAGAUUGACAAGUUUGGUCUCAAGGCUACAGAACCGCAGAUGGUUCUUUAUAACAUAUACGAUGACUGGUUGAAAAGUAUCUCGUCCUACACUGCAUUCUCUCGUCUUGUGCUUAUACUACGAGCAUUACAUGUCAAUAAUGAGAAGGCCAAGAUGUUGCUGAAGCCCGACAAGACAAUGGUUACGGAACUGCUUCAUAUCUGGCCAUCAAUCUUUGACUGAUGAGUACUGUCUGAAGGUGGAAUGUGCGCUCAGGGAUCUCAUUUUUUCAGAUUAUGCAAAGAAAAACAAUGUUAAUACUUCUGCUCCACCGUCACAGCAGAGGCAACAGAUAGCCGAGAUUGAGAAACAUUCCCGACAGCUAGGCAGCGGUUAAUUUGAAAAGAAAACGAGAGUAUAAACUCAUGGCAUUGUCUCUAUUGUAAAAUUUCACAUCCAACCCACAAAGUUAAGUCUUGCGCCAGCGACUGAUGCAAUGUAGUGAUCCAUGGUUGCAGCUCCUGAGAAAUACAGACAGACCACUCAGUUUAUUGCAAGUAUUUCUUCAGUUCAGCUUAUUACCAGAUGUAGUUAUUUGAAAAAAUGCAAUAUUCUUGAGCCGUUCACAAUUUGCAUUCAUGGGUGCAGUUUAUUUCACGGCAAAGAAGGUUGAUUAUAUGAACUUAUAUCAGAGAACUGCACUGAUUAUAUGAACUUAUAUCAGAGAACUGCAUCUACCUAGAAUCUACAGACACAGGAUGCAGGCUUCCUGCAUGGGCAGGAUAAAUCACCGAUUUAUCCUUUUUCUAUGGAAUUUCCUGUGUUAUUUUUUUGACUUAUUGAGUUGUUUUUGUCUCUGCAUUUGACAUGGGCCAAAUGGAUAAUUUUGUGUUGGUGAUGCAGAUUGGAAUACUGCUCGGUGGUGUUACACUCUUUGGAAAUUGAUGACCCUUUUUUGUUGGUUUUGAUAAUUUGCUAUUAAAUGCGGAUCUUGCCUUACCUAUAUGAUAGGGAGGUAAUUCGUGAACUUGCAAUUGUGAGAUGGGCGGAAGAAAAAGGAAAUGCUGAUGGGUCCAAUAAAGUUUUCGUCAAACAGUCUGUUGCUUUUAUUCAGCAAGACCCACAUUGUGCUGCAAUUUGUCGAAGAAGAGUAGAGUUGAAGUGAAAUGCAUCGUGCUGCAAUUUGGGUGGUGUCCUGAAGAAUGACGCCUUGUUUACAGAACCCUGGAAAUGCUCUGAAAAAGAAGGAUCGUACUGGGGCGUUGACUGAAUGGUGCACCUGAUGCCAGCAAGCGCUCACACUCGUCCCUUGUUUAUUUUCCGCUGAAUGGUGGUGUUGAUCUUUCGAUUUGUUGUAACCUUUCAAUUGUAUUGUGUGGCUUGGCACUCCACGGAUACCAAGUAUUUUGGUAUGCCGCGACUUAUUCGGUUAACAAAGAUUGGCUGGCUGUUUGUUGAACAUGAACGUCUGUUUGCGACAUGAAUGAUAGCGCCCUGGCUGUUUGUUGAACAUGAACGUCUGUUUGCGACAAGACAUCCUUUUUAGGUAAUUUUGUCUCUCAUUUUA
This is a long non-coding RNA of Triticum aestivum (bread wheat), 12769 nucleotides long. RefSeq lists it as uncharacterized. The record is from RefSeq and is a predicted model, not a curated record. NCBI's taxonomy places the organism in Eukaryota, Viridiplantae, Streptophyta, Magnoliopsida, Poales, Poaceae. The transcript is spliced from 7 exons.